Molecule: long non-coding RNA, 370 nt
Filed under: Macaca fascicularis (crab-eating macaque)
Lineage: Eukaryota; Metazoa; Chordata; Mammalia; Primates; Cercopithecidae
Description: lncRNA (ENSMFAG00000058607.1)
Source: RNAcentral
AAGACUACAAAUGCGUUUGCAUUGUCUGACUUAGCUUCUAGAAUUCUUGCCCUCUGCCAUGAGAAUCAUGUGUUUCAAAUAGUAACUGCUUCUUUUAUCUUGGGUUGCAGAUUGUGAAGACAGAAGAAGUCAACCUGAAAACAAACCACAGUUUGGAAUCAAGCCAAGGAUCAUCGGAAAGUACAGAAAAUCUGACCAUUCCUAAGAAGAAGAGUUGGAUUUACUCUCCUUAGGAUUUAAGGCCAAGUUCAAUAAAUAUGUUCACAUUGGGUUUAUGAUAAGGAAAAAGAAAGAAGCCUAAUCAAAUUGUCCCACUUGCAGUGCUGAACGAGUGUCCGUGUCCGCCUUUCAUGGUGGCAAGGUAAGAACA